This 558-nucleotide ribosomal RNA is filed under the name uncultured Methylobacterium sp. RNAcentral describes it as "bacterial SSU rRNA". It matches the Rfam family "Bacterial small subunit ribosomal RNA", at positions 102 to 694 of the family's 1533-position model. The record is from RNAcentral. Lineage: Bacteria; Pseudomonadati; Pseudomonadota; Alphaproteobacteria; Hyphomicrobiales; Methylobacteriaceae.
ACGGGUGAGUAACGCGUGGGAACGUGCCCUUCGGUUCGGAAUAACUCAGGGAAACUUGAGCUAAUACCGGAUACGCCCUUUUGGGGAAAGGCUUGACUGCCGAAGGAUCGGCCCGCGUCUGAUUAGCCUGUUGGUGAGGUUACGGCUCACCAAGGCGACGAUCAGUAGCUGGUCUGAGAGGAUGAUCAGCCACACUGGGACUGAGACACGGCCCAGACUCCUACGGGAGGCAGCAGUGGGGAAUAUUGGACAAUGGGGGCAACCCUGAUCCAGCCAUGCCGCGUGAGUGAUGACGGCCUUAGGGUUGUAAAGCUCUUUUCUCCGGGACGAUAAUGACGGUACCGGAGGAAUAAGCCCCGGCUAACUUCGUGCCAGCAGCCGCGGUAAUACGAAGGGGGCUAGCGUUGCUCGGAAUCACUGGGCGUAAAGGGCGCGUAGGCGGCUGAUUUAGUCGAGGGUGAAAGCCCGUGGCUCAACCACGGAAUGGCCUUCGAUACUGGUUGGCUUGAGACCGGAAGAGGACAGCGGAACUGCGAGUGUAGAGGUGAAAUUCGUAGA